UGGGGAAUAUUGGACAAUGGGCGAAAGCCUGAUCCAGCAAUGCCGCGUGAGUGAUGAAGGCCUUAGGGUUGUAAAGCUCUUUUACCCGGGAAGAUAAUGACUGUACCGGGAGAAUAAGCCCCGGCUAACUCCGUGCCAGCAGCCGCGGUAAUACGGAGGGGGCUAGCGUUGUUCGGAAUUACUGGGCGUAAAGCGCGCGUAGGCGGCUUUGUAAGUUAGAGGUGAAAGCCCGGAGCUUAACUCCGGAACUGCCUUUAAGACUGCAUCGCUAGAAUCGUGGAGAGGUGAGUGGAAUUCCGAGUGUAGAGGUGAAAUUCGUAGAUAUUCGGAAGAACACCAGUGGCGAAGGCGACUCACUGGACACGUAUUGACGCUGAGGUGCGAAAGCGUGGGGAGCAAACAGGAAUUAGAUACCCUGGUAGUCCACGCCGUAAACGAUGAUGACUAGCUGUCGGGCUCGAUGGAGUUUCGGUGGCGCAGCUAACGCGUUAAGUC
RNAcentral lists this ribosomal RNA (495 nucleotides) under uncultured Pseudomonadota bacterium. Its description in RNAcentral is "bacterial SSU rRNA". It matches the Rfam family "Bacterial small subunit ribosomal RNA", at positions 355 to 866 of the family's 1533-position model. The record is from RNAcentral. Lineage: Bacteria; Pseudomonadati; Pseudomonadota.